UUUUCGUCAUUUCAGGUCACUGGGCUUAGGACAAUGGACUAGGCCCAAACAUUUAGCCCCACGCAUGAUAUGUGAACGAGAUCGCAUGAAGUUCGGAUGUCACGCGGAAUGAGUGAAAUUGAGGUUGAGAAGUUAUCAUGUGAGCCGGAAUAGCUUUUAGGCGUACCUGAGGGCUAAAACGAGCCCCAGGCGUACCUGGGGGCUAAAAAUGAGCCCCAAGCGACUUGCAAGGGUUGAAAACCAACCUCAGGUCAUGCUUAAUAGGUGUUUUGAUUGCAAUGACUGAGCGGUUUGAGAAAUUAUCCGAGAGGGAAGCUUGAUAGUGGAUGACGGUUUGCAGAUAGCCGAAGACUUGUCAAAUCUUAGUGAAUUUCUAAGGGCCGAUCCCCUGUAUAUCGCUGAAGGCAUGAUUUGUCUUGGAUUUCGGCUAAGCUUGUAUUAAGAAUUUAUUGAUUACAGUUGAAUGCUAAUUAGCUUGUAAUUAAGCUUAAUCCUCUAUUAGCGAUAUUCUGGGCUCAAUUAACACUUGAGCCCAUCAGAGCCAGGGAUUUGAGGGGAUCGCCUCUCCUCUCCUUUCAAUAUAUGAGUUCCCACCUCAUUUUCAUUUGCCUCACAUUCUUUCAUUUGCCUUAGAGAAAUUCACAAAAUUUUCUCUCCAAUUUCUCCCAAAUCCUUGAGAGUUUGAGUGUUCAAGUCACAUCGCUCGGGUUCAUCCCAAUUCAUCAAGAUCUUCAAGAGGAGUACUCGCCUCGGGGUGCAUUUGACUUGUUUGCAAGAAAGUCUUCCGGCCUCUUUGACCACUUGGCUUAGAGGUACGCCUGUCGUGCUUUUGUAUGUACAUUAGAACAUCCUUCGAGUAAUCUUGAGUUGAGCUGUGCAUGUGUUAUGAACGACCAAGCGACUCAAGAUUAUCCGGAUUCUCUCCCCGACCAUAUGUCUUAUAUGACUUAUCAAAGGAGAUCUGGUCGGGUAUGAGGCUUGUAACAAAUGUGAUUGGUAGUAGUGUUGAUAUGUCGAUUCCUUCGGGUGUGCCACCUUUUUACAUGCCAUCCCCUCCCCCUAUGCAUGAUUUAGGUUUUGAUUAUUACUUACCUCCUUCCCCUUGGGAAGUUUCUCUUACACGUGAACCAACUGUUAGGGAUUGUUUGAACAGAUUGCUUGUUAACGGUGUGGUGACUAUGUCAAGUGAGGAUGACACGUCUACUUCUUCUCUUGAAGCACCGGUGCCCUUUAGGCCGCCUGUUAGGAGGAUUAGUCCCUCCAUGUGCUUCCCUCGGCCACUUGGCUUAGAUCUCUGUCGGAAGGGACUAGGCAUUUGCAAAUUAAGUAUAGUAUUAAGGAGCCUUUUCUCAUUUCUCCCUCUGGGGGUGAUAACACUGUAGAUAACCCUCCGCCCGACUGUAUAGAUAGAUGUAUAUAAUUGUUUGGAUAAUGGGUUGAGGUUCCCUUUGCAUCCAUUUAUUGAGGAGUUGUUAAUAGAGUAUAACUUGUGCAUUACCCAGCUUGUUCCUAACUCCUAGUUGACAAUAAACGCCUUUAUAGCAACUUGUAGUAUACUCGGCGUACCUUGUACCAUCACUUCCUUUAGGAACACCCAUAGGCUUUAGGAAAUCUCGGGUAAUGCCGACAGCCACAGGUGGUAUGCUUUUCACGAUAGGGAGUUCUACCUUACCAUACACACAAAGCCUUUUAGCCAAAAGGGCUUCUGCCACACCUUUCUUUUCAUUUUCCAUGCGAGGGGUUGGAGAAUACCCCGAGACCAUAGCGGCUUACCUAGGGUUGGCUUGAACUAUAAUCACUAGUGGAAAAAAAGACAUUUGCUACGGUUUUUUUUUGAGGUAAUUGCUAUGGAUUUGAACCGUAGAACUAGUGGGCGUAGCGAAUAAGGAAAACUAUAAACCGUAGUAAUUUUAAGUGUUUUGCUGUGGUUUUUUUAAAAAACCGUAGCGUUUUUGCAUUUUUUGCUGCGGUUUUUUUGAAAAAACCGUAACCUUGCUAUUUUAUGCUACGGGUUUUUUGUAUGAACCGUAGCAAUAAGUGGCCCCAAAAAAAUAAUUUUUUUUUCUUUUCUUUUUGCAUUUUUAAAGCUUAAUAAAUGAUGAUUGUAUAAUAUAUAGAAAAAAAAAUUUCAUAGAAUUAAUCUUAAUUAUACAAUGUAAACUUUUUACAAAUAAGAGAACUUUACAAAUAAGACUAGUAGUCUAUUCAACAAACGAAAGCAGCAACAUCAACAACUUUGGACAGCAACAUAUGGACUUUGCACAGUUUGAUCGAAUAAGAACACAAGCAUGCUCGAUCUUUUCACUAGUAGAAAAAGGCAAAUAGGCACUGGCCAUUCAAAACCUACUUAGGGCACCACAGAGGCAGAACAACAGCAGCACAGAAGUGGCAGCAGCAUCAAAGACAGAAGCAGCAUCAAUGUCAUAUAAUGCAUCAACUGCAAUACAUUAACCAGCAAGUUGAACAGUGAGAUAGGACUCAUAACCUGCAACUGCAACAAUGCAGCGACUUAGGGUCAAAAGCAACUAUUUUAUACUUUAGCAUAUUAUAAAAGUAGCAGCCACCUCUUGAAGGUCAAUUAUCGACUCUCAAAUAUAUACAAUAACUCCUGAAUACAAUGAUGGAGCAUGCAAGUUUAUAGCAGUUCAACAAAGAUCAUGCACACAAACACACACACAUACAAGGGGGGAGGGGAGGUAAAAAGAGAGAACUCUGAUCAAAUAUAUCAGUCAUUUGUACAACCUCAAAAAAAUUGGAUCCCUAUAAAAUGUAAUAUCAGAUACCAGAAAAAGGAAAUCAGAUAUCAAAAUUCAGAUCCACAUGAUAAAGAGAUCAAAGAAUAUUGCAGAUAUAUCCUUACUUUGGGAGUAAGGAAAAUAAGAGCAUUAACUCCAAAAAAGGUCAACAAUGAUCAAACACGUGAUAAUAUCAAAAUUAAAGGAUUUACGAAACUGCCACUGUGAGAAACAAAAACGUUUCUCACAGUGAGUAACAGAGAUUUACUGUAUAAUAUCAUGAAAACGUGUUCAGCACAAAAUAGACCUAACCUUGACCAACAGUAUAUCACAUCCAUCAAGUGAAUUUAUAAUUAAUUGAUGAGAUGCAAUAUAGAAAUUAAACAUCCAAACAAACCCAAGAGAUCUGAAAAAUAAACACUGUAUGUGUGUGCGUGUGUGUGCAUUGCAAUACUCAGAUUUCUAUUAACCCAAGGAACCCAUGAAAAUAAGAUAAAAAGAUCACAAACUUAGGCUAUAUAAGGCACUAAGAUAUGAUAUUGUAAUUGAUUAUGAGCGGCCUUAGUAUUUUAGUCAAUCAUAGCAAUAAAGUUCUAGAACUUGGGCCUUAGUAUGCACAAGAUGAAUACAGUAUGAUCAAACAACAAAAAUGCUGUUGAUACUUCCAUUAAGAUGUCUUACUAUCACAACCUCACAAAUAAAUGAAAUAAAAGAAAGAUAAAAAAGAGGAGUUGGUUAGAUGAAUGCAAGCUGAAGGUUCA
This is a long non-coding RNA of Chenopodium quinoa (quinoa), 3496 nucleotides long. RefSeq lists it as uncharacterized. The record is from RefSeq and is a predicted model, not a curated record. Lineage: Eukaryota; Viridiplantae; Streptophyta; Magnoliopsida; Caryophyllales; Amaranthaceae. The transcript is spliced from 3 exons.